AGUAACGGAGGUGUGCGAAGGUAGGCUCAAGCGUUGAUUCUCUCGUGGCGUAAUGGUAUAAGCGCCUGACUGUGAAGACGACUGGUCGAACAGAGACGAAGUCGCAUAGUGAUCGGGAGUCCGUGUGGAAGGGCUCUCGCUCAACGGAUCAAAGGUACGCCGGGAUAACAGGCUGAUGACUCCCAAGAGCUCUUAUCGAGAGGUCGUUUGGCACCUCAGAUGUCGACUCAUCACAUCCUGGGGUUGAGAAGGUCCCAAGGGUUCGUGUUCGCCAUGAAAGUGGUACGUGAGUUGGGUUUAGAACUCGUGAGACAGUUCGGUUCCUAUCUACCGUUGGUGUUAAGGGAGAACUAGGAGCCAACCUAGUACAAGAGGACUGGGUUGGGUCAACCUAUGGUGUACCGGUUGUUAUGCCAAUAGCAGCCGGCGGCUAAGUUUGGAAGAAGCUGCGCCGCGGACGGCGGUAUGGGACGUCGAGACGGUGGCCAAGUCGGGGCGGCGGGGACGCCGCCCCGGCGAGCCGGGGGAUGGCAGCCGGCGGGGUUCAUCGCGGGGGAGACAUCCUGGGGCGACGACCGGUGUC
RNAcentral lists this ribosomal RNA (583 nucleotides) under Urochloa ruziziensis. RNAcentral describes it as "bacterial LSU rRNA". The stretch from base 1 to 514 matches the Rfam family "Bacterial large subunit ribosomal RNA", at positions 2296 to 2925 of the family's 2925-position model. Lineage: Eukaryota; Viridiplantae; Streptophyta; Magnoliopsida; Poales; Poaceae. The record is from RNAcentral.